UACGGCCGCAAGGCUAAAACUCAAAGGAAUUGACGGGGGCCCGCACAAGCGGCGGAGCAUGCGGAUUAAUUCGAUGCAACGCGAAGAACCUUACCAAGGCUUGACAUGAACCGGAAAGACCUGGAAACAGGUGCCCCGCUUGCGGUCGGUUUACAGGUGGUGCAUGGUUGUCGUCAGCUCGUGUCGUGAGAUGUUGGGUUAAGUCCCGCAACGAGCGCAACCCUCGUUCUAUGUUGCCAGCGCGUUAUGGCGGGGACUCAUAGGAGACUGCCGGGGUCAACUCGGAGGAAGGUGGGGACGACGUCAAAUCAUCAUGCCCCUUAUGUCUUGGGCUUCACGCAUGCUACAAUGGCCGGUACAAAGGGUUGCGAUACUGUGAGGUGGAGCUAAUCCCAAAAAGCCGGUCUCAGUUCGGAUUGGGGUCUGCAACUCGACCCCAUGAAGUCGGAGUCGCUAGUAAUCGCAGAUCAGCAACGCUGCGGUGAAUACGUUCCCGGGCCUUGUACACACCGCCCGUCAAGUCACGAAAGUUGGUAACACCCGAAGCCGGUGGCCUAACCCUUGUGGGGGGAGCCGUCGAAGGUGGGACCGGCGAUUGGGACUAAGUCGUAACAAGGUAGCCGUACCGGAAGGUGCGGCUGGAUCACCUCCUU
This 653-nucleotide ribosomal RNA is filed under the name bacterium TN136B. RNAcentral's name for it is "bacterial SSU rRNA". It matches the Rfam family "Bacterial small subunit ribosomal RNA", at positions 881 to 1532 of the family's 1533-position model. The record is from RNAcentral.